Molecule: transfer RNA, 90 nt
Filed under: Patagioenas fasciata monilis
Lineage: Eukaryota; Metazoa; Chordata; Aves; Columbiformes; Columbidae
Rfam family: tRNA
About the family: Transfer RNA (tRNA) molecules are approximately 80 nucleotides in length.
Source: Rfam by way of RNAcentral
CCUUCAAUAGCUCAGCUGGUAGAGCGGAGGACUGUAGGCUGUCUAUGCAAAGGAAUCCUUAGGUCGCUGGUUCAAUUCCGGCUCGAAGGA